GGGAGCAUAGCUCAGCUGGGAGAGCAUCUGCCUUACAAGCAGGGGGUCACAGGUUCGAGCCCUGUUGCUCCCA
Peptoclostridium acidaminophilum DSM 3953 is the source of this 73-nucleotide transfer RNA. It matches the Rfam family "tRNA". Rfam says of the family: Transfer RNA (tRNA) molecules are approximately 80 nucleotides in length. Their secondary structure includes four short double-helical elements and three loops (D, anti-codon, and T loops). The record is from Rfam. NCBI's taxonomy places the organism in Bacteria, Bacillati, Bacillota, Clostridia, Peptostreptococcales, Peptoclostridiaceae.